Molecule: long non-coding RNA, 537 nt
Organism: Schistocerca americana (American grasshopper)
Lineage: Eukaryota; Metazoa; Arthropoda; Insecta; Orthoptera; Acrididae
Exons: 2
Source: RefSeq, a predicted model, not a curated record
GGAGCGAACAAAUAUUUUCGUACUGGGCCAUCGGGGAGAGGGGAUGGCAAAUAACGGGAAUCUAUUGUCUCAUUUCUCUGCAAUUCUUGGUGUUCCGGAACACUGGAACAGGUGUCACUCUCUUUCCGGCCUUUGGUUGCGUUAGAGGGUAUUGACUUUCGUUCCGCGUUCUUGUUUUUCUUUGUGUUGUUGCUUACUACCAAUAGUUGCCAACAUGAAGAGGUCGAGGACAAGCGAAAUGUGGUCAUAUUUCGAAAUUCUUGAUCGAGAGUUUGCGAAAUGUACUUUGUGCGGUAAGAAAUUAUCGUACAAAUCGACGACGACGAAUUUAAAGAAACAUCUCCAGAAAUCACAUUUAAUUGUGGAUUUCUCUUCACAAAGACCUUCGGAGCUAGAUUUGGGUGAAUCCCUUCCUGUAGAGGUGAUCCUUGGCACCAGUAGUGUGGAAGAGGAGCGAGCUGCUCCAGCCCCCUCAAUGCAGCAAGGUGUUCAAAGUUCUAUGACAUCGUACCUCUCCAAAAGGAUCGGAGUGAAUCA